UUAACUAUUUAAUAGUACUCAGACGACACAAACAUUCAGAGUUUAGGGGUCCUCUGGCGGGCACGCCCGACCGAAGUCGAGGCGUGCGAGGCACGCAGCCCGCCAAAGCAACAUUCUAUAAUGAUACACAAGGGUGGGAGAUCUACCCCGAAGGGCAUGAACUCUGUAAUGAUCCUUCCGCAGGUUCACCUACGGAAA
This 198-nucleotide unclassified non-coding RNA is filed under the name uncultured fungus. RNAcentral describes it as "sequence contains ITS1". Lineage: Eukaryota; Fungi. The record is from RNAcentral.